RNAcentral lists this ribosomal RNA (471 nucleotides) under uncultured bacterium. RNAcentral's name for it is "partial 16S ribosomal RNA". It matches the Rfam family "Bacterial small subunit ribosomal RNA", at positions 28 to 506 of the family's 1533-position model. The record is from RNAcentral.
GACGAACGCUGGCGGCGUGCUUAACACAUGCAAGUCGAACGCUGAAGCUUGGUGCUUGCACUGGGUGGCUGAGUGGCGAACGGGUGAGUAAUACGUGAGUAACCUGCCCUUGACUCUGGGAUAAGCCUGGGAAACUGGGUCUAAUACUGGAUACGACAUGUCACCGCAUGGUGGUGUGUGGAAAGGGUUUUACUGGUUUUGGAUGGGCUCACGGCCUAUCAGCUUGUUGGUGGGGUAAUGGCUCACCAAGGCGACGACGGGUAGCCGGCCUGAGAGGGUGACCGGCCACACUGGGACUGAGACACGGCCCAGACUCCUACGGGAGGCAGCAGUGGGGAAUAUUGCACAAUGGGCGGAAGCCUGAUGCAGCGACGCCGCGUGAGGGAUGACGGCCUUCGGGUUGUAAACCUCUUUCAGCACGGAAGAAGCGAAAGUGACGGUACGUGCAGAAGAAGCGCCGGCGAACUACGU